UGUGUCGACUCGAAAAUUGUCAGCGUUUCAAAGUCAUCGAUAGAGGAGACGAGUAAUGCGAGAAAAACGUUUGGAACGAGCGCGUUGGAGGACGCGCUAACGAGAGGGUUUAGUGGACCGUUUUUCGUCCAGACGUCCCUAUUUUCUUUAAGAGAACGGUGAAAUAUAUCCACGAGUCGGUUCAUAACUUAUUCGAACACCAAAAUCAUGGAAGUGAUAAUAAUAUCGAUUUCACCAACUACGCUCACGCCACGCAUCCCUAUGAAUUCACAUGGGAGGAUCAAACACGUGAAUGGCAGGAUAUAAACGAGGAGAUACAGAGAAGCAGGACGGGGUCUCG
Molecule: unclassified non-coding RNA, 340 nt
Filed under: Bombus terrestris (buff-tailed bumblebee)
Lineage: Eukaryota; Metazoa; Arthropoda; Insecta; Hymenoptera; Apidae
Description: misc RNA ENSBTSG00005021403.1
Source: RNAcentral